AGUGAACGCUGGCGGUAGGCCUAACACAUGCAAGUCGAACGGCAGCACAGGAGAGCUUGCUCUCUGGGUGGCGAGUGGCGGACGGGUGAGGAAUACAUCGGAAUCUACUUUUUCGUGGGGGAUAACGUAGGGAAACUUACGCUAAUACCGCAUACGACCUACGGGUGAAAGCAGGGGAUCUUCGGACCUUGCGCGAUUGAAUGAGCCGAUGUCGGAUUAGCUAGUUGGCGGGGUAAAGGCCCACCAAGACGACGAUCCGUAGCUGGUCUGAGAGGACGAUCAGCCACACUGGAACUGAGACACGGUCCAGACUCCUACGGGAGGCAGCAGUGGGGAAUAUUGGACAAUGGGCGCAAGCCUGAUCCAACCAUACCGCGUGGGUGAAGAAGGCCUUCGGGUUGUAAAGCCCUUUUGUUGGGAAAGAAAUCCAGCUGGCUAAUACCCGGUUGGGAUGACGGUACCCAAAGAAUAAGCACCGGCUAACUUCGUGCCAGCAGCCGCGGUAAUACGAAGGGUGCAAGCGUUACUCGGAAUUACUGGGCGUAAAGCGUGCGUAGGUGGUCGUUUAAGUCCGUUGUGAAAGCCCUGGGCUCAACCUGGGAACUGCAGUGGAUACUGGGCGACUAGAGUGUGGUAGAGGGUAGCGGAAUUCCUGGUGUAGCAGUGAAAUGCGUAGAGAUCAGGAGGAACAUCCAUGGCGAAGGCAGCUACCUGGACCAACACUGACACUGGGGCACGAAAGCGUGGGGAGCAAACAGGAUUAGAUACCCUGGUAGUCCACGCCCUAAACGAUGCGAACUGGAUGUUGGGUGCAAUUUGGCACGCAGUAUCGAAGCUAACGCGUUAAGUUCGCCGCCUGGGGAGUACGGUCGCAAGACUGAAACUCAAAGGAAUUGACGG
Molecule: ribosomal RNA, 900 nt
Filed under: uncultured bacterium
Lineage: Bacteria
Description: bacterial SSU rRNA
Rfam family: Bacterial small subunit ribosomal RNA
Source: RNAcentral